RNAcentral lists this ribosomal RNA (620 nucleotides) under uncultured archaeon. RNAcentral's name for it is "bacterial SSU rRNA". It matches the Rfam family "Archaeal small subunit ribosomal RNA", at positions 54 to 661 of the family's 1478-position model. The record is from RNAcentral.
CGACCCGGACUAUGGCGGGGAGUGGCAGACUGCUCAGUAACACGUAGCUAACCUACCCUCGGGACGGGGAUAACUCCGGGAAACUGGGGCUAAUACCCGAUAGGUAUGGAUUCCUGGAAUGGUGCCAUGCCUAAAUGUAAGCACAUCCAUGUUUGUGUGCACGCCCGAGGAUGGGGCUGCGGCCGAUCAGGCAGUUGGUGAGGUAACGGCUCACCAAACCUUUGACCGGUACGGGCCAUGAGAGUGGUAGCCCGGAGAUGGGCACUGAGACAAGGGCCCAGGCCCUACGGGGCGCAGCAGGCGCGAAACCUCCACAAUUCACGCAAGUGAGAUGGGGUUACCUCGAGUGCCGUCUGAAGAAGGCGGCUUUUCCAUGGUGUAACAAGCCGUGGGAAUAAGGGGGGGGCAAGACUGGUGUCAGCCGCCGCGGUAACACCAGCCCCCCGAGUGGUGGGGAUGAUUAUUUGGCCUAAAGCGUCCGUAGCCGGCUUUGUAAAUCUCUCGUUAAAUCCAGCGUCCUAAGCGUUGGGCUGCGAUAGAAACUGCAGAGCUAGAGGGUGGGAGAGGUCAGCGGUAUUCCUGGGGUAGGGGCGAAAUCCAUUGAUCCCAGGAGGACCACC